This is a non-coding RNA of Picea glauca (white spruce), 121 nucleotides long. The record is from Rfam. Lineage: Eukaryota; Viridiplantae; Streptophyta; Pinopsida; Pinales; Pinaceae.
ACAUGCCUACAACAUAGUGUCAAUGCACUGGAUCUCAUUAGAACUCCGCAGUUAAGCGUGCUCAGGCUAGAGUAGUACUAAUAUGGGUGACCGCCCAAGAAGUCCUAGUGUUUUACAUGCC